Molecule: ribosomal RNA, 427 nt
Filed under: uncultured prokaryote
Description: bacterial SSU rRNA
Rfam family: Bacterial small subunit ribosomal RNA
Source: RNAcentral
UGGGGAAUUUUGCGCAAUGGACGAAAGUCUGACGCAGCAACGCCGCGAGGGUGAUGAAGGUCUUCGGAUCGUAAAACCCUGUCGUCAGGGACGACGGGUUGGGGCCUAAUACGCCUUGACUUUGACGGUACCUGGAGAGGAAGCCCCGGCUAACUCUGUGCCAGCAGCCGCGGUAAUACAGAGGGGGCAAGCGUUAUUCGGAAUUAUUGGGCGUAAAGGGCGCGUAGGCGGUUCUUUAAGUCGGAUGUGCAAUCCCCGAGCUCAACUUGGGAACUGCAUCCGAAACUGGAGAGCUAUGGUGCUGGAGAGGGUGGUGGAAUUCCACGUGUAGCGGUGAAAUGCGUAGGGAUGUGGAGGAGCACCAGUGGCGAAGGCGGCCACCUGGACAGUAACUGACGCUGAGGCGCGAAAGUGUGGGGAGCAAACA